CAGUGGUUAGCUCACUUGGAUAGAGCAUCGGUCUUAGAAACCGAGUGUAGCGGGUUCGAAUCCUGCACCACGCGC
Molecule: transfer RNA, 75 nt
Filed under: Stratiformator vulcanicus
Lineage: Bacteria; Pseudomonadati; Planctomycetota; Planctomycetia; Planctomycetales; Planctomycetaceae
Description: Planctomycetes bacterium Pan189 tRNA-Leu
Rfam family: tRNA
About the family: Transfer RNA (tRNA) molecules are approximately 80 nucleotides in length.
Source: RNAcentral